AGCAGCCGCGGUAAUUCCAGCUCCAAUAGCGUAUAUUAAAGUUGUUGCAGUUAAAAAGCUCGUAGUUGAAUUUCGGGAUUUGUCGGUUGGUCGGGCUUCACUGUCCGCACUGGCCUGACGGAUUCCUACCUUCUGAAUAACCAGCAUGCUAUUAAUUUAGUGCGUUGGGGAAGCAGAGCUAUUACCUUGAAAAAAUUAGAGUGCUUAAAGCAGGCUUGUGCUUGAAUAGAUUAGCAUGGAAUAAUAAAAUAGGACGGCAUGGUUCUAUUUUGUUGGUUUCUAGGAUCACCGUAAUGAUUAAUAGGGAUAGUUGGGGGCAUUAGUAUUCAAUUGUCAGAGGUGAAAUUCUUGGAUUUAUUGAAGACUAACUUCUGCGAAAGCAUUUGCCAAGGAUGUUUUCAUUAAUCAAGAACGAAAGUUAGGGGAUCGAAGACGAUCAGAUACCGUCGUAGUCUUAACCAUAAACUAUGCCGACUAGGGAUCGGACGAUGUUAAUUUUUUAAUGACUCG
RNAcentral lists this ribosomal RNA (510 nucleotides) under uncultured Acaulospora. RNAcentral describes it as "SSU rRNA". It matches the Rfam family "Eukaryotic small subunit ribosomal RNA", at positions 569 to 1078 of the family's 1831-position model. Lineage: Eukaryota; Fungi; Glomeromycota; Glomeromycetes; Diversisporales; Acaulosporaceae. The record is from RNAcentral.